AGAGUUUGAUCCUGGCUCAGAACGAACGCUGGCGGCGUGGCUAAGACAUGCAAGUCAAACGGACCAGUAAUUUAUUAUUGGUUAGUGGCGAAAGGGUUAGUAAUGGAUAGGUAACGUACCCUAUGCUUUGGGAUAGCGUCUCCCGAUUUAUCGGGAUACCGAAAGGGGCGGUAAUACCAGAUAAUGUCAUCCCGAGCAAUCGGGAUGACCAAAGAUUUAUCGGCAAAGGAGCGGCCUAUCUCCUAUCAGCUUGUUGGUGAGGUAAUGGCUCACCAAGGCAACGACGGGUAGCGGGACUGAGAGGUUGACCCGCAACAUCGGGACUGAGACACUGCCCGGACCUCCACGGAGGGCUGCAGUAACGAAUAUUGCGCAAUGGGCGAAAGCCUGACGCAGCGACGCCGCGUGUAGGAGGAAGUCUUUCGGGAUGUAAACUACUGUCAGGGGUAAGAAAGUGCGCUUCGGCGCAUUGAUCUAACCCAGAGGAAGUCACGGCUAACUUCGUGCCAGCAGCCGCGGUAAGACGAAGGUGGCAAGCGUUGUUCGGUAUUACUGGGCUUAAAGCGUGUGUAGGCGGGAAAAUAAGCGUCCUGUGAAAUCCCUCGGCUUAACCGAGGAAUUGCGCGACGAACUGUUUUUCUUGAGGUAGGUAGGGGUGCACGGAACUCUUGGUGGAGCGGUGGAAUGCGUAGAUAUCAAGAGGAACGCCAGUGGUGAAAACGGUGCACUGGGCCUAUUCUGACGCUGAGACACGAAAGCGUGGGGAGCGAACGGGAUUAGAUACCCCGGUAGUCCACGCCGUAAACGAUGUCUACUAGGUUGUGAGUGUUCUGACACAGUCACGGCCGAAGCAAAAGUGUUAAGUAGACCGCCUGGGGAGUACGGUCGCAAGGCUAAAACUCAAAGGAAUUGACGGGGGCUCACACAAGCGGUGGAGCAUGUGGAUUAAUUCGAAGCAACGCGUAGAACCUUACCUGGGUUUGACAUGCUUGGAUGCCUAUCUGGAAACAGAUUUUGGCUGCUCUUCGGAGUGAAACUUGUACAGGUGCUGCAUGGCUGUCGUCAGCUCGUGUCGUGAGAUGUCGGGUUAAGUCCUUUAACGAGCGAAACCCUUGCCGUUAGUUGCCAGCGGGUCAUGCCGGGGACUCUAACGGGACUGCCGGUGUUAAACCGGAGGAAGGCGGGGAUGACGUCAAGUCAUCAUGGCCCUUAUGCCCAGGGCGUCACACGUGCUACAAUGGCGGCCACAGAGCGAAGCGAGACCGUGAGGUGGAGCAAAUCGCAAAAAGGUCGUCUCAGUUCGGAUUGGAGGCUGCAAUUCGCCUCCAUGAAGUCGGAAUCGCUAGUAAUCGCGUAUCAGCCAUGACGCGGUGAAUGUGUUCCUGAGCCUUGUACACACCGCCCGUCAAGUGAUGGGAGUUGGGAGUACCCGAAGUCAGGUUGUUAACCCUCGGGAAACGCCUGCCGACGGUAAGCCCGAUGACUGGCACUAAGUCGUAACAAGGUAACC
RNAcentral lists this ribosomal RNA (1510 nucleotides) under uncultured bacterium. RNAcentral's name for it is "bacterial SSU rRNA". It matches the Rfam family "Bacterial small subunit ribosomal RNA". The record is from RNAcentral.